Molecule: long non-coding RNA, 265 nt
Filed under: Gossypium barbadense (sea-island cotton)
Lineage: Eukaryota; Viridiplantae; Streptophyta; Magnoliopsida; Malvales; Malvaceae
Description: long non-coding RNA (GBAR_LNC009365)
Source: RNAcentral
UGGGUACAACAGAAACUAAUGUAUUCCACCAAUAAUAGGCAGAAUCACGUAGCAAAGAUAUAGCACAUUUCAGGCAUUCAUCGGGUGUGCAAGAUAGUUCAUCAAGUACUCGAAUAGUGUUGUCCAACCAAAAUUCAGGUUGCUCGGCAUCAUCACUGUCUGUAGCUUUAAAUUCAGUAGCCCCGUACUUUUGAAUUCUGUCAACCGAGGGCUUAUUCAACCUCAUCUGAUCAAUUACAGGAGGUAUCGUGGGUGCAAGGGGUGU